GAUGAAGAACGUAGCGAAAUGCGAUAAGUAGUGUGAAUUGCAGAAUUCAGUGAAUCAUCGAAUCUUUGAACGCACAUUGCGCCCUUUGGUAUUCCUUAGGGCAUGCCUGUUCGAGCGUCAUUUAAACCUUCAAGCUCAGCUUGGUGUUGGGUGACUGUCCGCCGCCUCCGGGCGCGUGGACUCGCCUCAAAAUUAUUGGCGGCCGGUACAUUGGCUUCGAGCGCAGCAGAAACGCGAACUCGGGCCCGUCGUAUUGGCUCCCAGAAGCUAUCUUCACAAUUUUGACCUCGGAUCAGGUAGGGAUACCCGCUGAACUUAAGUAUAUCAAUAAGCGGAGGA
This 339-nucleotide unclassified non-coding RNA is filed under the name soil metagenome. RNAcentral's name for it is "partial contains 5.8S ribosomal RNA, internal transcribed spacer 2, and large subunit ribosomal RNA". The stretch from base 1 to 120 matches the Rfam family "5.8S ribosomal RNA", at positions 35 to 154 of the family's 154-position model. The record is from RNAcentral.